ACUGUUAAUAGUCAGUGUUCUGUGGAACUCUUUAUGCAAAAAGGCAAAGAUGCAAACAACAACAUUGUUCUCAUUUACCUCUGGAGGUAUCUCACUAUGCAGAUAGUUCUGAUCGUAUCUGAACCAGACUGGUCUCUGCCUCCACCCCUGUGCAGCUGUCGUCAGUGCUGCUCGUUGUGGAAACUGUUGGGUUUCUCUAUAAUUUUACAAGGCUGUAACCCCACUGGAUAUUGAAGCCUGCCUUCAGGUAUCCAGUGUUCAUCUUUACAACAUGGACGUGUUCAUGGAGACACAAUCUGCACCACAUGUCUCAGAUCCAGUCCUUCUAGGCCCGAGCACCAACUCAGCCCCAGCAUGUUGUGUGUUUCCUGAUCUCAACCAAAAAUAACAGCUCUA
Pleuronectes platessa (European plaice) is the source of this 396-nucleotide long non-coding RNA. RefSeq lists it as uncharacterized. The transcript is spliced from 3 exons. Lineage: Eukaryota; Metazoa; Chordata; Actinopteri; Pleuronectiformes; Pleuronectidae. The record is from RefSeq and is a predicted model, not a curated record.